UGUGGGCCCAUCUCCCCCAGGAAGGUGGUCCCAGGAACCCAGAUGGGGCCUGUGAAUCCACAGGGAUUCAGUCCAACUCACCCACAGGGAUGUUGACACUGAAGGUCCUGAGCUUACAGCCAUCUGCAGAAGAAGUUGGCACCGUCAUCCAUGCUUUGCCACUGGAAAAGGGACUUCCCAGAGAUGGGGCAGCUUUCCCCAGGUCCUCAUGCAGGCAACUGCAGGUCUUGAAGAUACUCUGACACAGGCCUGGAGUGUAUAGCACUCCUUCAUUUGCACUUCAAGCGCUCUGAAUCUGGGCAAGGACUCCAGUCUCAGAGGCAGAUUCUUCAGCAGUUUACAUCAUGCAGAAAUUAAGUUGCCAUUUGCUUGCUGGAUCUCCUACCAUGUGAGAGAUGUUUCUUCCCAAGUAACCACUCGGGUCCCAUUGCACCAAGCCACAAAGCACAGUCACCUAGGGCACAGGAUAA
Passer domesticus (house sparrow) is the source of this 470-nucleotide long non-coding RNA. RefSeq lists it as uncharacterized. NCBI's taxonomy places the organism in Eukaryota, Metazoa, Chordata, Aves, Passeriformes, Passeridae. The record is from RefSeq and is a predicted model, not a curated record. The transcript is spliced from 3 exons.